This 393-nucleotide ribosomal RNA is filed under the name uncultured bacterium. RNAcentral describes it as "bacterial SSU rRNA". It matches the Rfam family "Bacterial small subunit ribosomal RNA", at positions 30 to 420 of the family's 1533-position model. The record is from RNAcentral.
AUUGAACGCUGGCGGCAUGCCUUACACAUGCAAGUCGAACGGCAGCACGGGAGCUUGCUCCUGGUGGCGAGUGGCGAACGGGUGAGUAAUACAUCGGAACGUACCCUGAAGUGGGGGAUAACGUAGCGAAAGUUACGCUAAUACCGCAUAUUCUGUGAGCAGGAAAGAGGGGGAUCGCAAGACCUCUUGCUUUAGGAGCGGCCGAUGUCGGAUUAGCUAGUUGGUGAGGUAAAGGCUCACCAAGGCGACGAUCCGUAGCGGGUCUGAGAGGAUGAUCCGCCACACUGGGACUGAGACACGGCCCAGACUCCUACGGGAGGCAGCAGUGGGGAAUUUUGGGACAAUGGGCGCAAGCCUGAUCCAGCCAUGCCGCGUGAGUGAAGAAGGCCUCGG